CCUACGGGAGACAGCAGUGGGGAAUAUUGCACAAUGGGGGAAACCCUGAUGCAGCAACGCCGCGUGAGUGAAGAAGUCUUUCGGUAUGUAAACCUCUUUUAUCAGGGAAGAAGAUGACGGUACCUGAGUCAGAAGCCCCGGCUAAAUACGUGCCAGCAGCCGCGGUAAUACGUAUGGGGCCAGCGUUAUCCGGAUUUAAUGGGUGUAAAGGGAGCGUAGACGGUGAGACAAGUCUGAGGUGAAAGCCCGGGUCUCAACCCCGUGACUGCUUUGGAAACUGCCUGACUGGAGUGCUGGAGAGGCAAGCGGAAUUCCUAGUGUAGCGGUGAAAUGCGUAGAUAUCAGGAAGAACACCAGUGGCGAAGGCGGCUUGCUGGACAGUAACUGACGUUGAGGCUCGAAAGCGUGGGGAGCAAACAGGAUUAGAUACCCGAGUAGUC
This 440-nucleotide ribosomal RNA is filed under the name uncultured bacterium. RNAcentral's name for it is "partial 16S ribosomal RNA". It matches the Rfam family "Bacterial small subunit ribosomal RNA", at positions 338 to 795 of the family's 1533-position model. The record is from RNAcentral.